This is a long non-coding RNA of Leopardus geoffroyi (Geoffroy's cat), 737 nucleotides long. RefSeq lists it as uncharacterized. The record is from RefSeq and is a predicted model, not a curated record. Lineage: Eukaryota; Metazoa; Chordata; Mammalia; Carnivora; Felidae. The transcript is spliced from 9 exons.
ACAGCCAGGGCCUGGAAUGGAGAUGGGGAUGGGUUCUAACUUCCUGUAACAGGAUGAUGAUAGCCCCUAAUUUCCUGUGACAGCAUGGAAAGAGGUUCUAACUUCCUGUGACCGGAUGGAAAGAGGUUCUAACUUCCUAUGACAUUCUUUGACUUCCUGUGACAGGAUGGUGAUAGUUCCUAACUUCCUGUGACAGGAUGGAAAGAGGUUCUAACUUCCUGUGACCGGAUGGAAAGAGGUUCUAACUUCCUGUGACCGGAUGGAAAGAGGUUCUAACUUCCUGUGACCGGAUGGAAAGAGGUUCUAACUUCCUAUGACAUUCUUUGACUUCCUGUGACAGGAUGGUGAUAGUUCCUAACUUCCUGUCACAGGAUGGAAAGAGGUUCUAACUUCCUGUGACAGGAUGGAAAGAGGUUCUAACUUCCUGUGACCGGAUGGAAAGAGGUUCUAACUUCCUGUGACCGGAUGGAAAGAGGUUCUAACUUCCUGUGACCGGAUGGAAAGAGGUUCUAACUUCCUGUGACCGGAUGGAAAGAGGUUCUAACUUCCUGUGACCGGAUGGAAAGAGGUUCUAACUUCCCGUGACCAGAUGGAAAGAGGUUCUAACUUCCUGUGACAGGAUGGAAAGAGGUUCUAACUUCCUGUGACCGGAUGGAAAGAGGUUCUAACUUCCUAUGACAUUCUCUGACUUCCUGUGACAGGAUGGUGAUAGUUCCUAACUUGCUGUGUCAGGAUGG